Molecule: ribosomal RNA, 163 nt
Filed under: uncultured bacterium
Lineage: Bacteria
Description: partial 16S ribosomal RNA
Rfam family: Bacterial small subunit ribosomal RNA
Source: RNAcentral
AACGCCGCGUGGGUGAAGAAGGCUCUUGGGUCGUAAAGCCCUUUCGGUUGGAAAGAAGUUAUCUGUGACGAAUAAUCACAGGUCGCGACGGUACCAGCAUAAGAAGCACCGGCUAAUUUCGUGCCAGCACCUUCGGUGACUGAGCGGGCUGGCAAGGCGCAUA